AAUGAAAACCGCCCAGGGGCCUAUGAAAUUCAUCUCUCUGUUAAGGAUUACUGCUUUGCCCGAGAAGAUCGAAUCAUCGGAAUGACAGUCAUUCAGCUACGGAACAUAGCAGAAAAGGGAAGCUAUGGGGCAUGGUAUCCUCUUUUGAAAAAUAUCUCGAUGGAUGAAACUGGUUUGACUAUCCUUAGAAUACUCUCUCAGAGGACUGGCGAUGAUGUGGCUAAAGAGUUUGUGAGACUUAAAUCUGAAACAAGAUCUACAGAAGAGAGUGCUUGAAAUGAAUACUCCAAGAUGGGAUCUUUGAGAAUUCACAAACUAUUAUUGUUUGACUGCUGCAUGCAUGUACAAAUACAUGGGAAUGUUUAUUUCACUACAUUUCAAUGUUUGCAGGUACUCAAGUACAAUGUCUACAAGGUAUGUAGAAACCCUGAACUUUUAUACCGAUGCUGGUCUUUGGAAAAUAAAUGUUCCAUGAAGUGCCAAAAUUACGAUGUAAAGUGAAAUAUCCAAAAUAUCUCUUAAAAUGUUUAUUUCAUUUCAUUUCCAAUCUCUCAUCUGUUAAACAUACUAAAAAACAGUUAGUCUUUUGAGUUUGUACAUUAGCUGUCUGUUAAAUUAGUUUAUAUUGCUCACAGUUCAGAAAGCAUCCAUUACUGAAAUUUUGUUUUAUUUAGACUUACCUCGUUGUAGAUGUCUUACAAUUACCCUUUUCUACCAUAACUAGAAAUGCAGCCCCUUCUAGAAAGCAUUUGUAAUUUUAUAGUUACAGAUAUAUUGUGAUGAUUUUUGCAUAUAAAAUAGAAAAGGUGGGAAAUAUUUUAUGUUGACCAGUUUCCAACCUUUCUGAAAUAUCACUGUGAAGAAAUGCUAUUAAAGCAAACUUAUACAAAGCAAUGCUAAAUAGAGUUUAACAAUGUUUGAUAUAUUGACAAAAUUUUGUUCUUUAAAACUGCCACGGUCACAUCACAUUUGUAAAAAAGAUAAGUCGAUGCAUUUGGUAUAUAGCAUUAUAUCUCAGCUUUACCAUAUUUUAUUCUUUAGAAAGUCAUAGGAUUAAAAGUGUAGAAAUGAGAUGGAAGGUUCGUUUCUUAAAAUUACCUGUGAUAAAUAACUAUAUUGUUAGUAUUUUCCCUCUGACAGUUAUGACUAAUUCCUUAUUUACUUAACUCUAUAAUCAGUUAAAUGUUUUCUCUUUAAAAAUAUUCAAUAAUUUGUACUGAAUGUAGCAUUACUAUAUAUUGCACUGGAGCCAAAAGUCAUGUCUUCAUGUAUUUAGUGAAAAAAUGUAAAAUGAAGUCUGAAGAAAUUGCUACAAUUUUGUAAUUUGUUCUUUAUAAGCCCAAAAUGCAUCAGAUGCAAUAGGAAAACAACUUCGUACAGCUCAGUACAUAAAAAUAUACCUAGGUUGGUUUUUGAAUAUGAAAUAGUUUAUGAAUAUUUGCAUUUUCUGUAUUUUUAUGGUUUGACUUUUUGGAGUCUGUACCUAAAUACUUGGCUGUAGAACAGUACUUUGUCAUUGUAAGUUAUGGUCAUAACUGUUAGUGGAUUUCCUAUAUAUGCAGAAACAAAAACCUGUUAAAAUGACUGUAUUUUGUGAACAAGCUGAUCUGAUAGGUUAAGAACAGAAGUGACUAGUAUCAUGACUCUUGGAACCAUGCUGCUACUGGGUGUGAAAACACGGACCAGUGAGACAGGCUAAUUCAUGUUAAAUUGUUAGGCAACUGCUUUGUUAAUGACUUCUCCAAAUGCAUAGUUAUGAUGUGAUCCUCUGGCAUAUGCAUUAAUAAAUGGAUGUAUAUUGAACACA
Long non-coding RNA from Galeopterus variegatus (Sunda flying lemur), 1807 nucleotides. RefSeq lists it as uncharacterized. Lineage: Eukaryota; Metazoa; Chordata; Mammalia; Dermoptera; Cynocephalidae. The record is from RefSeq and is a predicted model, not a curated record. The transcript is spliced from 2 exons.